RNAcentral lists this ribosomal RNA (252 nucleotides) under uncultured bacterium. RNAcentral describes it as "partial 16S ribosomal RNA". It matches the Rfam family "Bacterial small subunit ribosomal RNA", at positions 524 to 776 of the family's 1533-position model. The record is from RNAcentral.
UACGGAGGAGGCGAGCGUUAUCCGGAUUUAUUGGGUUUAAAGGGUGCGUAGGCGGUCCGUUAAGUCAGCGGUAAAAUUGCGGGGCUCAACCCCGUCGAGCCGUUGAAACUGGCAGACUUGAGUUGGCGAGAAGUACGCGGAAUGCGCGGUGUAGCGGUGAAAUGCAUAGAUAUCGCGCAGAACUCCGAUUGCGAAGGCAGCGUACCGGCGCCACACUGACGCUGAGGCACGAAAGCGUGGGGAUCGAACAGG